CCUACGGGAGGCAGCAGUGGGGAAUUUUGGACAAUGGGGGCAACCCUGAUCCAGCCAUUCCGCGUGAGUGAAGAAGGCCUUCGGGUUGUAAAGCUCUUUCGCAAGGGAAGAAACGUUACGAGCGAAUAACUCGUGAUAAUGACGGUACCUUGAUAAGAAGCACCGGCUAACUACGUGCCAGCAGCCGCGGUAAUACGUAGGGUGCAAGCGUUAAUCGGAAUUACUGGGCGUAAAGCGUGCGCAGGCGGUUUUGUAAGUCAGAUGUGAAAUCCCCGAGCUCAACUUGGGAACUGCGUUUGAAACUACAAGGCUAGAAUAUGUCAGAGGGGGGUAGAAUUCCACGUGUAGCAGUGAAAUGCGUAGAGAUGUGGAGGAAUACCAAUGGCGAAGGCAGCCCCCUGGGAUAAUAUUGACGCUCAUGCACGAAAGCGUGGGGAGCAAACAGGAUUAGAUACCCUGGUAGUCCACGCCCUAAACGAUGUCUACUAGUUGUUGGUGAGUAAACUCCAUGAGUAACGCAGCCCCUAAGCGUGAAGUAGACCGCCUGGGGAUACGGUCGCAAGAUUAAAACCUUAAAUGAAAUUGACCGGNNGAGAGNGCGACGACGACGACGAGGAGGAGG
Molecule: ribosomal RNA, 622 nt
Filed under: uncultured bacterium
Lineage: Bacteria
Description: bacterial SSU rRNA
Rfam family: Bacterial small subunit ribosomal RNA
Source: RNAcentral